CUUUGCAAUGCUUGGAAAGUGUCUCAGGUGUGAGUUGGUGGAGCCUGCACUCCCAGCAGCUAAGGUAGAAGCAUAUGGGAAACUGCAUUCCGAUCCAGGGAAGUAUAGGAAGCAGUAAUAAAAGUGGGAAGACCUAUUAUAAGUUCGUUGCAGUCAUCCAGCUGCUGAUUUUCUCUCGAGGGCUCACCCCCCUGGACUCUGGGUGGUCCUGGGAGGAUGUGAACCCUGUACCCUGACUCCCAUCACUGAGGCCAAGAGUCUGGACCCCUCCUCCUCCUCCUGCCCCAGCACAGCAGGGAACCCGGCAGGACAGCUGUCCUCUAGGACUCUUGAGUUCACUCACUUCAGCCACCAAGCGCUGACUGUGUUUCCACCAAAGGGCAGUUCCUGCGGCUUCUACUCCCCCUCUCCAAGGUGCCAGGGUUACUGCCUGUCCUCCAGCCUUCCAUGGCAUCACUGUCUCUCCAGAUCAUCUCAUUCAAUUCUCUCAUUGCUCCAGUGAGCCUGGAUGGUUUUCUGUUGCCGACAACAAAAAACCCCAACUGAUACCAUUCCCCUUCCCCAAGGUCACUUACCCAGGGCAAGGUCCAGCCUGAGAUUUGAGUUCCUACUGAGUCCCCUACAGGGGCACAGCUAUGAGCUGAAUUGUGCCUCUCUCCAGGUUCAUUCCUAACCCCUGAGACCUCAGAAUGGGACAGUAUUUGGACACACGGUCUUUCUUGAGCUAAUACAGGUUAAAUAGUUUACUGAGGGGAUCCUCAUCCAAU
This 767-nucleotide long non-coding RNA is filed under the name Homo sapiens (human). Its description in RNAcentral is "non-protein coding LINC02273:10". The record is from RNAcentral. Lineage: Eukaryota; Metazoa; Chordata; Mammalia; Primates; Hominidae.